CCUACGGGUGGCAGCAGUGAGGAAUAUUGGUCAAUGGACGAGAGUCUGAACCAGCCAAGUAGCGUGAAGGAUGACUGCCCUAUGGGUUGUAAACUUCUUUUAUAAAGGAAUAAAACGAGGCACGUGUGCCUUUUUGCAUGUACUUUAUGAAUAAGGAUCGGCUAACUCCGUGCCAGCAGCCGCGGUAAUACGGAGGAUCCGAGCGUUAUCCGGAUUUAUUGGGUUUAAAGGGAGCGUAGAUGGGUUGUUAAGUCAUUUGUGAAAGUUUGCGGCUCAACCGUAAAAUUGCAAUUGAUACUGGCAGUCGUGAGUACAGUUGAGGUAGGCGGAAUUCGUGGUGUAGCGGUGAAAUGCUUAGAUAUCACGAAGAACCCCGAUUGCGAAGGCAGCUUACUAAACUGUGACUGACAUUGAUGCUCGAAAGUGUGGGUAUCAAACAGGAUUAGAUACCCGAGUAGUC
RNAcentral lists this ribosomal RNA (460 nucleotides) under uncultured bacterium. Its description in RNAcentral is "partial 16S ribosomal RNA". It matches the Rfam family "Bacterial small subunit ribosomal RNA", at positions 338 to 795 of the family's 1533-position model. The record is from RNAcentral.